GCUAAAUAGUUCUUACUACAUGUCAGUUUGUAUAGAGGACAACUCCAGAAGUCAAGGUCCUGAAGACAGUCCAGCAUCAGUAGGAUUGAAAGUAUGGAAGACCGUGCCAUUUGUUGAAGAUACACUCGUCUCUGGAACAGAAGCUGUAAAACUUAUUGCCUGACUACUGAAACAUUGUUGUGAAACACACUUGGUCCAGCACCAAUAGGUUUUGGUCUCUGCCCACUGAAACGUCAUUUUUCCUGUGUUGGCUCUCUUCUCUUGGUGGAAACAUUGUUGGUCUGAGCUGCCAUUCAAUGGCUGGCAUUACAUUACCGUAUGUAUCUUCAGAGUUUGUUUGCACAACAAUGGCUGGUAUUUUUAUCAAGGAAAGCACACUCUUAAUCUA
Molecule: long non-coding RNA, 388 nt
Organism: Triticum aestivum (bread wheat)
Lineage: Eukaryota; Viridiplantae; Streptophyta; Magnoliopsida; Poales; Poaceae
Exons: 2
Source: RefSeq, a predicted model, not a curated record